Molecule: ribosomal RNA, 945 nt
Filed under: uncultured bacterium
Lineage: Bacteria
Description: bacterial SSU rRNA
Rfam family: Bacterial small subunit ribosomal RNA
Source: RNAcentral
UACGUNCCAGCAGCCGCGGUAAUACGUANGUCCCGAGCGUUGUCCGGAUUUAUUGGGCGUAAAGGGAGCGCAGGCGGUCAGGAAANUCUGGAGUAAAAGGCUAUGGCUCAACCAUAGUGUGCUCUGGAAACUNUCUGACUUGAGUGCAGAAGGGGAGAGUGGAAUUCCAUGUGUAGCGGUGAAAUGCGUAGAUAUAUGGAGGAACACCAGUGGCGAAAGCGGCUCUCUGGUCUGUCACUGACGCUGAGGCUCGAAAGCGUGGGUAGCGAACAGGAUUAGAUACCCUGGUAGUCCACGCCGUAAACGAUGAGUGCUAGGUGUUAGGCCCUUUCCGGGGCUUAGUGCCGGAGCUAACGCAAUAAGCACUCCGCCUGGGGAGUACGACCGCAAGGUUGAAACUCAAAGGAAUUGACGGGGGCCCGCACAAGCGGUGGAGCAUGUGGUUUAAUUCGAAGCAACGCGAAGAACCUUACCAGGUCUUGACAUCCCGAUGCUAUUCUUAGAGAUAGGAAGUUACUUCGGUACAUCGGAGACAGGUGGUGCAUGGUUGUCGUCAGCUCGUGUCGUGAGAUGUUGGGUUAGGUCCCGCAACGAGCGCAACCCUUAUUGUUAGUUGCCAUCAUUAAGUUGGGCACUCUAGCGAGACUGCCGGUAAUAAACCGGAGGAAGGUGGGGAUGACGUCAAAUCAUCAUGCCCCUUAUGACCUGGGCUACACACGUGCUACAAUGGUCGGUACAACGAGUUGCGAGCCGGUGACGGCAAGCUAAUCUCUGAAAGCCGAUCUCAGUUCGGAUUGGAGGCUGCAACUCGCCUCCAUGAAGUCGGAAUCGCUAGUAAUCGCGGAUCAGCACGCCGCGGUGAAUACGUUCCCGGGCCUUGUACACACCGCCCGUCACACCACGAGAGUUUGUANCACCCGAAGUCGGUGAGGUANCCUUUUAGGG